This 406-nucleotide ribosomal RNA is filed under the name uncultured bacterium. RNAcentral describes it as "partial 16S ribosomal RNA". It matches the Rfam family "Bacterial small subunit ribosomal RNA", at positions 30 to 526 of the family's 1533-position model. The record is from RNAcentral.
AUUGAACGCUGGCGGCAGGCCUAACACAUGCAAGUCGAGCGCGCGGCGGACGGGUGAGUAAUGUCUGGGAAACUGCCUGAUGGAGGGGGAUAACUAAUGGAAACGGUAGCUAAUACCGCAUACUUUCGGAUGUGCCCAGAGGGGAUUAGCUAGUAGGUGCGGUAACGGCUCACCUAGGCGACGAUCCCUAGCUGGUCUGAGAGGAUGACCAGCCACACUGGAACUGAGACACGGUCCAGACUCCUACGGGAGGCAGCAGUAGGGAAUAUUGCACAAUGGGCGCAAGCCUGAUGCAGCCAUGCCGCGUGUAUGAAGAAGGCCUUCGGGUUGGAAAGUACUUUCGGCGGGGAGGCGUUACCCGCAGAAGAAGCACCGGCUAACUCCGUGUCAGCAGCCGCGGUAAUAC